RNAcentral lists this transfer RNA (85 nucleotides) under Cupriavidus taiwanensis LMG 19424. RNAcentral's name for it is "tRNA-Leu". It matches the Rfam family "tRNA". From Rfam's summary of the family: Transfer RNA (tRNA) molecules are approximately 80 nucleotides in length. Their secondary structure includes four short double-helical elements and three loops (D, anti-codon, and T loops). Further hydrogen bonds mediate the characteristic L-shaped molecular structure. tRNAs have two regions of fundamental functional importance: the anti-codon, which is responsible for specific mRNA codon recognition, and the 3' end, to which the tRNAs corresponding amino acid is attached (by aminoacyl-tRNA synthetases). tRNAs cope with the degeneracy of the genetic code in two manners: having more than one tRNA (with a specific anti-codon) for a particular amino acid; and 'wobble' base-pairing, i.e. permitting non-standard base-pairing at the 3rd anti-codon position. Lineage: Bacteria; Pseudomonadati; Pseudomonadota; Betaproteobacteria; Burkholderiales; Burkholderiaceae. The record is from RNAcentral.
CGGGUGGUGAAACAGGUAGACGCAGGGGACUCAAAAUCCCCCGCCGCAAGGCGUGUCGGUUCGAGUCCGACCCCGGGCACCAGAU